Molecule: ribosomal RNA, 492 nt
Filed under: uncultured bacterium
Lineage: Bacteria
Description: partial 16S ribosomal RNA
Rfam family: Bacterial small subunit ribosomal RNA
Source: RNAcentral
AGUGAACGCUGGCGGUAGGCCUAACACAUGCAAGUCGAACGGCAGCACAGUAAGAGCUUGCUCUUACGGGUGGCGAGUGGCGGACGGGUGAGGAAUACAUCGGAAUCUACUUUUUCGUGGGGGAUAACGUAGGGAGACUUACUCUAAUACCGCAUACGACCUACGGGUGAAAGCAGGGGAUCUUCGGACCUUGCGCGAUUGAAUGAGCCGAUGUCGGAUUAGCUAGUUGGCGGGGUAAAUGCCCACCAAGGCGACGAUCCGUAGCUGGUCUGAGAGGAUGAUCAGCCACACUGGAACUGAGACACGGUCCAGACUCCUACGGGAGGCAGCAGUGGGGAAUAUUGGACAAUGGGCGCAAGCCUGAUCCAGCCAUACCGCGUGGGUGAAGAAGGCCUUCGGGUUGUAAAGACCUUUUGUUGGGAAAGAAAAGCAGCAGGUUAAUACCCCGCUGUUCUGACGGUACCCAAAGAAUAAGCACCGGCUAACUUCGUG